CCUACGGGAGGCAGCAGUGGGGAAUAUUGCACAAUGGGGGAAACCCUGAUGCAGCGACGCCGCGUGAAGGAAGAAGUAUUUCGGUAUGUAAAAUUCUAUCAGCAGGGAAGAAAAUGACGGUACCUGACUAAGAAGCCACGGCUAACUACGUUCCAGCAGCCGCGGUAAUACGUAGGGGGCAAGCGUUAUCCGGAUUUACUGGGUGUAAAGGGAGCGUAGGCGGCGUUGCAAGUCAGAAGUGAAAGCCCGGGGCUCAACUCUGGGACUGCUUUUGAAACUGUGUUGCUAGAGUGCAGGAGAGGUAAGUGGAAUUCCUGGUGUAGCGGUGAAAUGCGUAGAUAUUAGGAGGAACACCGGUGGCGAAGGCGGCUUACUGGACUGUAAAUGACGCUGAGGCUCGAAAGCGUGGGGAGCAAACAGGAUUAGAUACCCGUGUAGUC
RNAcentral lists this ribosomal RNA (440 nucleotides) under uncultured bacterium. RNAcentral describes it as "partial 16S ribosomal RNA". It matches the Rfam family "Bacterial small subunit ribosomal RNA", at positions 338 to 795 of the family's 1533-position model. The record is from RNAcentral.